This 374-nucleotide unclassified non-coding RNA is filed under the name Alloalcanivorax balearicus. RNAcentral's name for it is "Alcanivorax balearicus partial contains 16S-23S ribosomal RNA small intergenic spacer and 23S ribosomal RNA". Lineage: Bacteria; Pseudomonadati; Pseudomonadota; Gammaproteobacteria; Oceanospirillales; Alcanivoracaceae. The record is from RNAcentral.
UUGCGGCUGGAUCACCUCCUUAACGAAAGGACUUUCCAAACAGGACCCACACGUUUGCUUGUCUGUUGUUCCGGCGUCGAGAAGCCGGUAACAAGUGAUUCGAAAGAAUUAUUUGUUACCGGUUUUUUAGUCCGGUCUUGAAGUUCAUCUUCAAGAUGCUCUUUAACAAUCUGGGAAAUGAGAAGUCCAAGUAUUCCAAUGGAAUACAAGCGUUAGAGACUUAUAUCUGACACUUGUGUCUAUUAGGUGAAUCGUUGGUGUUACAGCCGUAUGGCUUGAGCAGUUGAUGAGAGUUGACUGUUUUGGGUUAUAUGGUCAAGUGACGAAGCGUACACGGUGGAUGCCUUGGCAGCCAGAGCCGAUGAAGGACGGGA